This 74-nucleotide transfer RNA is filed under the name Candidatus Omnitrophota bacterium. RNAcentral's name for it is "Candidatus Omnitrophica bacterium (groundwater metagenome) tRNA-Arg". It matches the Rfam family "tRNA". From Rfam's summary of the family: Transfer RNA (tRNA) molecules are approximately 80 nucleotides in length. Their secondary structure includes four short double-helical elements and three loops (D, anti-codon, and T loops). Further hydrogen bonds mediate the characteristic L-shaped molecular structure. tRNAs have two regions of fundamental functional importance: the anti-codon, which is responsible for specific mRNA codon recognition, and the 3' end, to which the tRNAs corresponding amino acid is attached (by aminoacyl-tRNA synthetases). tRNAs cope with the degeneracy of the genetic code in two manners: having more than one tRNA (with a specific anti-codon) for a particular amino acid; and 'wobble' base-pairing, i.e. permitting non-standard base-pairing at the 3rd anti-codon position. Lineage: Bacteria; Pseudomonadati; Candidatus Omnitrophota. The record is from RNAcentral.
GUCCCCGUAGCUCAGUUGGAUAGAGCAACGGAUUUCUAAUCCGUUGGCCGGGUGUUCGAAUCACCCCGGGGACA